Molecule: ribosomal RNA, 401 nt
Filed under: uncultured bacterium
Lineage: Bacteria
Description: bacterial SSU rRNA
Rfam family: Bacterial small subunit ribosomal RNA
Source: RNAcentral
GAAUCUUCCGCAAUGGACGAAAGUCUGACGGAGCAAUGCCGCGUGCGGGAUGAAGCCCUUCGGGGUGUAAACUGCUGUCAGGGUUCAGCAACACAAUGAGCAGAUCCAAAGGAAGAGCCGACUAACUCUGUGCCAGCAGUCGCGGUAAUACAGAGGGCUCGAGCGUUGCGCGGAGUCACUGGGCUUAAAGCGUACGUAGGCGGGCGUGCAGGCAUCGUGUGAAAUCCCCCGACUCAACCGGGGAACUGCUCGGUGAACCGCACGUCUUGAGGUCAGUAGGGGCGGUCGGAACGAUAGGUGGAGCGGUGAAAUGCGUAGAUAUCUAUCGGAACGCCAAAGGUGAAGACAGGCCGCUGGGCUGAUUCUGACGCUGAGGUACGAAAGCGUGGGGAGCAAACGGG